UACGUCUAGCAACGAAGGAGGCCGUGACUGGGUGACUUCCGUUAGCAGUUUCCUAGCAACUGAUCACAGCUUGCAAAUGUCUUCCAUAGUAUGUAAGAUAUGAGGUUUCUUCAUCGUCUUCCAUAGUAGUUCUGUAGCUUGGGUGCGUCGGAAGGGUCGGAAGUAAGUCUGCAAGGUCUGCAAUGAUGGGUGAUGAACAAGUUUUAAGAAGGAUACCGAGAACCUUUGCGCCGACUAAAGGUGACAGAUGCAAAGGCGAGCAGAAAGAGUUCGAAGAAAUGAUGGAAAAAGUAGAAGAAAAUAACGGAAGAAAAAGAAGGAGAAUCUUGGGGUACGCAUUGAUGUUAAUGCUAGCAGCCGUAUUCUCUGCAUGGGCUUCGUCACUCUUUAUACCUGUAGAGAGAGAAUUAGUUUACUGAAAACUGCAUUUGGCAUCUGAACUGAGUUUUACAGCCCACAUUACCAGUUCUUUGUUAGGAAAAACAACUCUGAGGAAUACUGUUGAAGAAACCUGCACUGUAUUGUGGGAAGUCCGAUCAGUCAACCCAGCUUGGACGUCUCUCCCAUCUGGACUCCCAUUAUCGCAGCAGAAGUCAGAAAACUACAACUCCGACCUGUGUAGAUUAUGUGUGAAAACUGUUUUUUUAUGUUGGUACCAUACAGAGAAUUUCUCUCUUUAGUGAUGAAUUCUAUUCUGAUAGAACUGUGAUUAUAAGAACAAUAGCCAUGAAACAGUGCAUGGACAUACUCGUAGGCGCUAGGUCUCAUGUAUGUGGAGUUUUUAAAUGUUUUUAAUAUUUGUCCUAAUUCUCACAGAUAGUUUGUGCUGUGCUUAGUUUAUAUAUCCUGUGUUGGUGCUUUUGUGUGGAGAUAGGGACCAGCUCUGUCAAUUGGACCCAACUGAGUAUGUUACACCUGAAGGCAGAUACAGAACUGUCUCCAAAAUAUUGUGUGUUUCAAAUAAAAACAGGAUGAUGGAUAAUGUCCAGAAACGCA
Long non-coding RNA from Cryptotermes secundus, 996 nucleotides. RefSeq lists it as uncharacterized. The transcript is spliced from 3 exons. NCBI's taxonomy places the organism in Eukaryota, Metazoa, Arthropoda, Insecta, Blattodea, Kalotermitidae. The record is from RefSeq and is a predicted model, not a curated record.